Molecule: ribosomal RNA, 1701 nt
Filed under: Triticum aestivum (bread wheat)
Lineage: Eukaryota; Viridiplantae; Streptophyta; Magnoliopsida; Poales; Poaceae
Description: partial small subunit ribosomal RNA
Source: RNAcentral
AUGAAAGAAACAGAUUUGUCCAGAAAAAACCUCUUCUCUUUAUCGUUCCUAACCUUGCUUUGCCCCCAAUCUCCCAAAUCAACAACAUGGUAUCGGAGCAUGACGAGGAUCUAUGCAGGAGUUGCGCGGAUUGAUAGGCGGGGGCUGCUGGAAGGCUGUGGUGGAGGUGUUGGGGCCGGUUUUGCUGCGGUGGAGAGCCAAAUCAGGGCUGGCGGUGGCUGUGGUGGAGCAGGGUGCCCAGCAGCGACCUGGAGUGGUGUAGGUGGUGGCCCUGGGUGGAGACAGAUUGGGGACAGAUUCAAAUCAAAGUUCAAGGCAAUGGACGAAAAGUAUAGUGCUCUAUUGGAAGCAAUCAGCAAACAAGCCACCAGCUCAAAAUCAUAUGUUGAGAUGAAGGAAGAAAUACACCCUCUGCAGAUGCCACGUGUAAAGUUAGAGGAUCCAGAGAGCUAUGUCAGUUGGGCUGAGCAUGCUGAAACCAUCUCAGUUUCGAGGAAAUUGGAAGGGUGCAUUCUUGGGACAGUAGAGAAACCUGAGGAAGAAGGUUCAAAAGAAGGCCAAAAAUGGAGGAUGACCAAUGCACUGGUUAGGGCGUGGCUGUUGAGCUCAGUCUCAUCUCAAAUUGCAAGACAAGUGGAGAGGAUUAAGGAUGCCUCGGAAAUUUGGAGGCUCCUAAAGGGAACAUAUUUAGGAGUGGGAAAUGAGAUGUUAGCAUGUAUGAUUCAGAAGGAACUGCAGGAGCUGAGCCAAGGAGAAAGGACUAUUGUGGAGUAUGUAUCGGAACUAAAAAGAUUGUGGAGUGACCUUGACUACUAUGAUCCUGUUGAGAUGGAAUGUGAAUGUGCGAUAGGGGGAGAGAGGGAGGAGAAAGACAAUAAUGGAGCAUAUCAGGAGAUGAAGAACAACAUCCUCAAGUGUACACAUGAAGGCAUCAGACCGAGGAGAAGCAUGCUCGAGAGGAAGAAAUCAUCCCUUCGGGACAUGAUCAUGAAGCCCAAGGACAGGUCGACCCACAUGACUCAGCUUCACACCCUUCAGCUUCACAUGAUGAUCAUUUAUAGCUGCUUAGACUCCACAGUUCCUAUAGCUCGUGAUUGGCAAGAGGUGAAGAAAGAUCCAAGGUGGAGAGUUGCAAUGUUGGAAGAAAUGCGAGCACUUGAUAAAAACAACACUUGGGUUCUUACCACAAUUCCAGCGGGAAAGAAAAUUGUGGGCUGCAAGUGCGUGUUCACUGUGAAGCAGACACCUGAGGGGAAGGUAGAGAGAUACAAGGCCAGGUGUAAUUUACCGAGCUGCGAAGGAGUUUCGGCUGGAAAUGAAACGGCCGACGGAGGGGAUCAAGGGGGGCGCAGGUCCUGGUCCGGUGGGUCCGAUCGACCGAGGAGGCAUUGCGUGGGGCGUGGCGUCACGACGACGACACCAGAGCGUAACGGGAGCCUCCUCCCGUCUCCUCUCUUCCUUCGCCACGAAGGAUCCGCCCGUCGCCCAAGAAUACUCCAAAUGGAGAGAGCUACCGCGCGCCAUGAUUGCCGCUCCGCUCGCUUGCUGGCUGGCCGAUUGAGUGUACGUGCGUACCAGCAGCCGAACACGCACGCAUGCACACAUAAGCAUUGGUGGACCAUCACCGACAGAGCCGGCCAUGGCGUAAUUCGUCUGAUCGAUCGAUCGGCCGACGUGGUCCUCCUGGAUCGCACGUCGUAG